UACACUCCUGCGGGAGGCAGCAGUGGGGAAUAUUGGACAAUGGGCGCAAGCCUGAUCCAGCCAUGCCGCGUGAGUGAUGAAGGCCCUAGGGUUGUAAAGCUCUUUCACCGGUGAAGAUAAUGACGGUAACCGGAGAAGAAGCCCCGGCUAACUUCGUGCCAGCAGCCGCGGUAAUACGAAGGGGGCUAGCGUUGUUCGGAUUUACUGGGCGUAAAGCGCACGUAGGCGGACUAUUAUGUCAGGGGUGAAAUCCCGGGGCUCAACCCCGGAACUGCCUUUGAUACUGGUAGUCUUGAGUUCGAGAGAGGUGAGUGGAAUUCCGAGUGUAGAGGUGAAAUUCGUAGAUAUUCGGAGGAACACCAGUGGCGAAGGCGGCUCACUGGCUCGAUACUGACGCUGAGGUGCGAAAGCGUGGGGAGCAAACAGGAUUAGAAACCCUGGUAGUCCC
Molecule: ribosomal RNA, 448 nt
Filed under: uncultured organism
Description: partial 16S ribosomal RNA
Rfam family: Bacterial small subunit ribosomal RNA
Source: RNAcentral